CCCAUGGAAAGAGGAGCUAUUUUUCUCAGAGCCAAAGACGAGUUGCUGAAAUGGCUGCCAGCAGAACUGUGAUGUUAAAAAAAAAAAUCUUGCAAACUGGAAAUGGUUGAGCCAGUGGGAGGUCUUUAACAUUCCUCCUACCCUAUCCACUUGGAUGCCAGCCUCCCUCCUCCUGAAGUGUGAGCUUUUUUAUAGGACUUGGAUGGGAACUCCUCAAAGCCUCAGGAAUCACUGCUGCACCGUGCAAAAUGAUCCACCCUAAGCCUGUGCAAACCUCCUCUGAAGUGCUCCAAGCUUCUUCCUUAUCUGUGCUGCUGUGACCACCCUUGUUAUUCUGAUUUGGUCUUGGCAUUCACCACAGAAUUUCUCACCAUGACAAGCACUGAUUUUGAGCAAGCAACUGAAAUGUAUCAAAGUAUGGAUCUCUUAUUGACUCUUUAUAGAUUUUUGUUGCGUAUUUUGCAUACCCAUUUUUAAAGCACUCUGUUAAAUAUCCGAUUUUUACAUCUAAUAAAUUUCUGUUUUCUUCUGAAAAAGUUUGGAGG
RNAcentral lists this long non-coding RNA (545 nucleotides) under Apteryx owenii (little spotted kiwi). Its description in RNAcentral is "lncRNA (ENSAOWG00000018559.1)". The record is from RNAcentral. Lineage: Eukaryota; Metazoa; Chordata; Aves; Apterygiformes; Apterygidae.